GAUGAACGCUGGCGGCGUGCCUAAUACAUGCAAGUCGAGCGAACAGACGAGGAGCUUGCUCCUCUGACGUUAGCGGCGGACGGGGGAGUAACACGUGGAUAACCUACCUAUAAGACUGGGAUAACUUCGGGAAACCGGAGCUAAUACCGGAUAAUAUAUUGAACCGCAUGGUUCAAUAGUGAAAGACGGUUUUGCUGUCACUUAUAGAUGGAUCCGCGCCGCAUUAGCUAGUUGGUAAGGGAACGGCUUACCAAGGCAACGAUGCGUAGCCGACCUGAGAGGGUGAUCGGCCACACUGGAACUGAGCCACGGUCCAGACUCCUACGGGAGGCAGCAGUAGGGAAUCUUCCGCAAUGGGCGAAAGCCUGACGGAGCAACGCCGCGUGAGUGAUGAAGGUCUUCGGAUCGUAAAACUCUGUUAUUAGGGAAGAACAAAUGUGUAAGUAACUAUGCACGUCUUGACGGUACCUAAUCAGAAAGCCACGGCUAACUACGUG
Molecule: ribosomal RNA, 497 nt
Filed under: uncultured bacterium
Lineage: Bacteria
Description: partial 16S ribosomal RNA
Rfam family: Bacterial small subunit ribosomal RNA
Source: RNAcentral